GCCCUUAUAGAAGACAAAUGAAUAAUUUCAUUAGGAUUGGGAUUUUUUCUGGAUUGAGUUUUGAAUUUCAAAAUAGAUCACGUGAGUUUAGGUGACGAAACCGAGGUGAAAAAUAAAUUUAGUUAUUUAUUUCCUGCAACAAAAAAUUUUCUGCAGCACAAAAGGAAAGUGAAAGGUUAAUUUUUUUAUUUACGAGGUUCACUUUUCAUAGCGAUGACGGCCACCGGUUGAGAGAUCCGUAAUCAGAGCCGAGGAAAGUCCGUUGAAGACGAGAGACGACGGUGAAAUGACAACGAGACAGAGACGGCCGUGAUUUGUGUUGUUCUUAACGAAGGUGGAUACACUCCCUAAGCAAACGAGGACGCGGCGGUUGCGACGCAGCUGAAGAAUGAUCUGAAAAGUGGAGGAAAAAGCAUAAACAGUGGAGAGAGAUUAUGGAGCAAUCAGAGCUUGGGAGCAGCAGAAUCCAGCCUAUUUCAUAUGCUUCUUCCAGAUGUAGCAGAUCGAAUCUGAUGCCGGGAGUGAGAAGCUCUGGGGAGCAGUCUCAAAGAACCGCCGCGAAGCACAUCAUUUUCAACAGGUGACCUCGUCUCUGCAUCACCAUCUUUGUGCUAUAACUUUGGACAAUGAGAGACCAUUGUUUCCUAGUCUCAGCCCACUAGCUUUGGUGAACAAACAUAGAAACUACUCAUUAAAAACAAAGCUAUUAAAGGAGCUUCAUUAUCAAUGAACAUCUCAUAGUCGUAUGGAAUCUGGUGUAGAUGUAAUUUUGAUCUCGAGGAAUCACGAAUUGGCCGGAGCUUACUAUGCAUUUUGUUGGAUUUAGAAUGAAAAAGUUAACAAACAAAAUAUGCUCUACACAUGUACGAUGGAAUUUGAUGUACACAUGUACGAUGUAUUUUUGAUAUACAGAAACCAGGUGUAGAUCUUUUGAAUCUCUUAUCAAA
This is a long non-coding RNA of Raphanus sativus (radish), 947 nucleotides long. RefSeq lists it as uncharacterized. NCBI's taxonomy places the organism in Eukaryota, Viridiplantae, Streptophyta, Magnoliopsida, Brassicales, Brassicaceae. The transcript has 2 exons. The record is from RefSeq and is a predicted model, not a curated record.